GCGGACUGAGGUAGUAGGUUGUAUAGUAGUAGUAUUUUGGAAAAUCUUCUAUACAAUCUUCUAACUCGCUUUGC
This 74-nucleotide microRNA precursor is filed under the name Megaselia scalaris. RNAcentral describes it as "let-7 microRNA precursor". Lineage: Eukaryota; Metazoa; Arthropoda; Insecta; Diptera; Phoridae. The record is from RNAcentral.